UACGUAGGGUGCGAGCGUUAAUCGGAAUUACUGGGCGUAAAGCGUGCGCAGGCGGUUCGAUAAGUCGGGGGUGAAAACCCGGGCUCAACCCCGGCCGUCCUCCGAUACUGUCGGACUGGAGGCAGGUAGGGGAGAGUGGAAUUCCCGGUGUAGCGGUGAAAUGCGCAGAUAUCGGGAGGAACACCGGUGGCGAAGGCGGCUCUCUGGACCUGUCCUGACGCUCAGGCGCGAAAGCUA
This 237-nucleotide ribosomal RNA is filed under the name uncultured bacterium. Its description in RNAcentral is "partial 16S ribosomal RNA". It matches the Rfam family "Bacterial small subunit ribosomal RNA", at positions 524 to 762 of the family's 1533-position model. The record is from RNAcentral.